ACCUACUGUUUAAUUUUGAGGGUUCGUUUUUACGAAUGCUCAAAAUUAGCACUUUAAGCAACGGGAUUUAUCCGUUGGCGCUGUGCGUUAGCACUUUAAGCAACGGAAUUUAUUCGUUGGCGCUGUGCGUUAGCACUUUGAAAACUGCAUAUAUAUUUAGUGAUAUGACAUCUAAUUUGUAAUAUAUAAAGCUGAGAACUUUUUAAAAUUAUCGAAGUUGAUAGCUUCUAAUCUAUCAAACCUUUCUAACUGGUCAA
This 257-nucleotide unclassified non-coding RNA is filed under the name Clostridioides difficile. RNAcentral's name for it is "16S-23S ribosomal RNA intergenic spacer (ISR)". Lineage: Bacteria; Bacillati; Bacillota; Clostridia; Peptostreptococcales; Peptostreptococcaceae. The record is from RNAcentral.